RNAcentral lists this ribosomal RNA (276 nucleotides) under uncultured Mollicutes bacterium. RNAcentral describes it as "partial 16S ribosomal RNA". It matches the Rfam family "Bacterial small subunit ribosomal RNA", at positions 1104 to 1382 of the family's 1533-position model. Lineage: Bacteria; Bacillati; Mycoplasmatota; Mollicutes. The record is from RNAcentral.
CCCAUUGUUAGUUACUACCAUUCAGUUGAGGACUCUAAUGAGACUGCCAACGACAAGUUGGAGGAAGUGGGGAUGACGUCAAAUCAUCAUGCCCUUUAUGACCUGGGCUACAAACGUACUACAAUGGCCAAUACAAAGAGAUGCGAAGCGGUGACGUGGAGCGAACCUCAGAAAGUUGGUCUCAGUUCAGAUUGAAGUCUGCAACUCGACUUCAUGAAGGCGGAAUCGCUAGUAAUCGCGGGUCAGCAGACCGCGGUGAAUACGUUCCCGGGUUUU